This is a non-coding RNA of Heterocephalus glaber (naked mole-rat), 46 nucleotides long. NCBI's taxonomy places the organism in Eukaryota, Metazoa, Chordata, Mammalia, Rodentia, Bathyergidae. The record is from Rfam.
CCAAAGGCUCUUCUCAGAGCCACCCACUCUUUCAGAAAAAGUAGCU